AUGGAGAGAUGAAGAGGAGGAGAGGGAGGGAGGAUAAAGUCUGAGUCAUGCUGAGAGAUGAGGACGAAGAAUUCAAGCAGAGAAAAUUUAUGGGGGAAUGUGAGUGUCUGUAGGAAUUUAAAAAGAAAAAAAACUUGAGAUGGCAACGAAGGAGGGAUGAAGAGGAGGAGGAGAGAGGUUGAUUAGUAUUCUGGCUGGGGGAGAUGAAUGGAAGACGAGAGAGAGAAGGAGCUGGAGGAGGAGAAGCCGCAGGUGACAGAUGUCCUACAAGGAUAGAAGUAUGAGACAGCGUUCAGCUUCACGGGACUGAGGAUUAGAUCAUCCGUCUUCAUCGACUGAAUCGCAGAGCACCGCCGCUGGCAGACGAGCAGCGCAGCGUCCUUGUCUCGUCCUCUGAUCGGAGAGGACGCAGGUGAGGAGGGAGGAGACGGGGGGCUGAGGAGGCCGUGUGGGAUUUAUCAUUCAUAAUUCAUUCAUAUUUCUCAGGAUAUGAAAACACAGAAAAAACAGCAAGAGUUCAUUGAGAUAAACGAGGUGUUUUAUAACAUUUUAGGCAAAUUGUUUUGAUUGUUUUUCUCAUCAAUUUUUAAUUUUCAAUCACUCUGCAGGAACUCGCUCACCUUCCUGAUCACUUCUGUCUUUGACUCAUCCGUCUCUUUGUUCAUGAACUCUGCCUGAGUCACGUCAGGUUACAGGAAGUUUAAUACUCAGGAAAGCUUCUUACCAUCUGAUGCUCGGCACUUUGUGGGAAAACUGUCUUUAAAGAAAUAAAAAAGAAGAUCAGAGUAGUUUUAAAUAAAAAGACCGAAAGCUCCCGAAAUUCUCGAGCUGUGGAUUUGUAAUAUUCUCAUAUCACUGGAGCUUCUCACUUCUGACUGCAGCUGAGAGCAGCGACACUCGGAGCCAGAGUUAUUUACAUAACCAAUAAAAUAAAGAAACUCACAUGACAUUUUCUUUUGAUGAGUGACGAUAAAGAGUGACGAUAUCGUCUCCACUCCGUCACCAUUUUAAUGCUAGUGACAUCACUUGGAGUCGGUAUCGAGGCUCCCGCCCACACACGUGCUCAACCAAUCGUGAGUCAGCGUCAUCGGCGACAUCAAUCAUGACGUCUCGGCCCGUUUUUGUUUUUUUUUCAUCAUCAAACUGAUCAGAAAACGGAACACGUGAACACAUGUCAGUGUGAUGAGAACCACCUCGCAUUACGGAAACAUCGACAUGUCCCCUCUGCUAACCUGGAGGGGGCGGGGCUUAUGACUCUAUACUGCAGCCAGCCACCAGGGGGCGUCAGGAGGAUUUGGCUUCACUUUUGAGGAGCUCCAUGUUUGAGCUUUCGACUUCACCUGUGUCUUUCUCUGUCAACUCACCCGUCACGGAGGCCGAUCCGCCACGACGCGGUGGAAUGAAAGGUCAUUUUACCGAGGAGAGCCGGUGAGAUGUGGUUGAAAGCUCCAGAAAAAAUAAGAGUUUGUCAAAUUGUCAAACUGCUUCUUCCACGGAAAUCUUUUUUUUUUUUUAUUCUGUGUUUCGCUGCUUUUGUCCAAACAGGUUGAAGCUGAAAUGUCCACUUGAGACCGUCACCGUCAAAUCACACACAGUCAAUGAAACAAUCAGAGACUCGAGUGUGACUCGGAACAAAUGAAACAAAUAAUAGAAACAAGAUUCAGAUUGAAUCUGAAAUGAUGGAGUUGUGAAGUUGAUUUUUUCUCCUGGUGUCUCUGCACGUUGUUAAUAUUUUCACCAGAGGGCGCCACCGAGCAGUGAAAGAGCUGGGUUCCUUUGGUCUUUCCCAGACUGUCCAUGCAUCCUCCUCCUCCUGCUCCUCCUCCUCCUCCUCCUCCUCCUCUUCAUCCUCUUCAUCCUGGAGGUCAGUUCACCGCUUCUUCUUCUUCUGACUCGUCUGAAAACAAAUCACCACAUUGUCUCAGAUUUGAGCCUCGAUGUGGAAUGAAGAAGAAGAAGAAGAAGAAGAAGAAAAAGAAGAAAAAAGAGAGAAAGUGGGAAUGUCGCAGUGGGAAAAUAAAUGAUCCCCACGGAGAAGGAUUGAACGAUCUAAUGUGUCUGAUUCGUGUUGUUGGGAAUCUCUCCCCUUGGUCAAAUAAUUUCAUAUAAUCAAGGAUUUUCAGUUUCAGUUCUUUGUGAUAUGUUCUGUUUUAUAAGUUUAUUCAAAAGGGACCAUGUACAUUAAUUAACAUGCGUGUAGAUCAUACUAAUCAACAUAU
Molecule: long non-coding RNA, 2219 nt
Organism: Scophthalmus maximus (turbot)
Lineage: Eukaryota; Metazoa; Chordata; Actinopteri; Pleuronectiformes; Scophthalmidae
Exons: 3
Source: RefSeq, a predicted model, not a curated record